Molecule: ribosomal RNA, 3011 nt
Filed under: Salmonella enterica subsp. enterica serovar Typhimurium
Lineage: Bacteria; Pseudomonadati; Pseudomonadota; Gammaproteobacteria; Enterobacterales; Enterobacteriaceae
Also listed under: 4 other names
Description: bacterial LSU rRNA
Rfam family: Bacterial large subunit ribosomal RNA
Source: RNAcentral
GGGUUGUGAGGUUAAGCGACUAAGCGUACACGGUGGAUGCCCUGGCAGUCAGAGGCGAUGAAGGGCGUGCUAAUCUGCGAUAAGCGCCGGUAAGGUGAUAUGAACCGUUAUAACCGGCGAUACCCGAAUGGGGAAACCCAGUGUGAUUCGUCACACUAUCAUUAACUGAAUCCAUAGGUUAAUGAGGCGAACCGGGGGAACUGAAACAUCUAAGUACCCCGAGGAAAAGAAAUCAACCGAGAUUCCCCCAGUAGCGGCGAGCGAACGGGGAGGAGCCCAGAGCCUGAAUCAGCAUGUGUGUUAGUGGAAGCGUCUGGAAAGGCGCGCGAUACAGGGUGACAGCCCCGUACACAAAAGCGCAUGUGCUGUGAGCUCGAUGAGUAGGGCGGGACACGUGGUAUCCUGUCUGAAUAUGGGGGGACCAUCCUCCAAGGCUAAAUACUCCUGACUGACCGAUAGUGAACCAGUACCGUGAGGGAAAGGCGAAAAGAACCCCGGCGAGGGGAGUGAAAAAGAACCUGAAACCGUGUACGUACAAGCAGUGGGAGCACCCUUCGGGGUGUGACUGCGUACCUUUUGUAUAAUGGGUCAGCGACUUAUAUUCUGUAGCAAGGUUAACCGUAUAGGGGAGCCGGAGGGAAACCGAGUCUUAAUUGGGCGUUAAGUUGCAGGGUAUAGACCCGAAACCCGGUGAUCUAGCCAUGGGCAGGUUGAAGGUUGGGUAACACUAACUGGAGGACCGAACCGACUAAUGUUGAAAAAUUAGCGGAUGACCUGUGGCUGGGGGUGAAAGGCCAAUCAAACCGGGAGAUAGCUGGUUCUCCCCGAAAGCUAUUUAGGUAGCGCCUCGUGAAUUCAUCUCCGGGGGUAGAGCACUGUUUCGGCUAGGGGGCCAUCCCGGCUUACCAACCCGAUGCAAACUGCGAAUACCGGAGAAUGUUAUCACGGGAGACACACGGCGGGUGCUAACGUCCGUCGUGAAGAGGGAAACAACCCAGACCGCCAGCUAAGGUCCCAAAGUCAUGGUUAAGUGGGAAACGAUGUGGGAAGGCCCAGACAGCCAGGAUGUUGGCUUAGAAGCAGCCAUCAUUUAAAGAAAGCGUAAUAGCUCACUGGUCGAGUCGGCCUGCGCGGAAGAUGUAACGGGGCUAAACCAUGCACCGAAGCUGCGGCAGCGAACGUAUCACCCAAGACAACUUUACGGAGUUGACGAUUGACGGAGCGAAGCGACGUCAAAGCGUUCAUUAAAGUCGAGUUGGCUUAGGGAUACGUUCGUUGGGUAGGGGAGCGUUCUGUAAGCCUGUGAAGGUGUGUCGUGAGGCAUGCUGGAGGUAUCAGAAGUGCGAAUGCUGACAUAAGUAACGAUAAAGCGGGUGAAAAGCCCGCUCGCCGGAAGACCAAGGGUUCCUGUCCAACGUUAAUCGGGGCAGGGUGAGUCGACCCCUAAGGCGAGGCCGAAAGGCGUAGUCGAUGGGAAACGGGUUAAUAUUCCCGUACUUGGUGUUACUGCGAAGGGGGGACGGAGAAGGCUAUGUUGGCCGGGCGACGGUUGUCCCGGUUUAAGCGUGUAGGUGUGUGUUCCAGGUAAAUCCGGUUCACUUUAACACUGAGGCGUGACGACGAGGCACUACGGUGCUGAAGCAACAAAUGCCCUGCUUCCAGGAAAAGCCUCUAAGCAUCAGGUAACAUCAAAUCGUACCCCAAACCGACACAGGUGGUCAGGUAGAGAAUACCAAGGCGCUUGAGAGAACUCGGGUGAAGGAACUAGGCAAAAUGGUGCCGUAACUUCGGGAGAAGGCACGCUGACACGUAGGUGAAGUGAUUUACUCAUGGAGCUGAAGUCAGUCGAAGAUACCAGCUGGCUGCAACUGUUUAUUAAAAACACAGCACUGUGCAAACACGAAAGUGGACGUAUACGGUGUGACGCCUGCCCGGUGCCGGAAGGUUAAUUGAUGGGGUCAGCGCAAGCGAAGCUCCUGAUCGAAGCCCCGGUAAACGGCGGCCGUAACUAUAACGGUCCUAAGGUAGCGAAAUUCCUUGUCGGGUAAGUUCCGACCUGCACGAAUGGCGUAAUGAUGGCCAGGCUGUCUCCACCCGAGACUCAGUGAAAUUGAACUCGCUGUGAAGAUGCAGUGUACCCGCGGCAAGACGGAAAGACCCCGUGAACCUUUACUAUAGCUUGACACUGAACAUUGAGCCUUGAUGUGUAGGAUAGGUGGGAGGCUUUGAAGUGUGGACGCCAGUCUGCAUGGAGCCGACCUUGAAAUACCACCCUUUAAUGUUUGAUGUUCUAACGUGGACCCGUAAUCCGGGUUGCGGACAGUGUCUGGUGGGUAGUUUGACUGGGGCGGUCUCCUCCUAAAGAGUAACGGAGGAGCACGAAGGUUGGCUAAUCCUGGUCGGACAUCAGGAGGUUAGUGCAAUGGCAUAAGCCAGCUUGACUGCGAGCGUGACGGCGCGAGCAGGUGCGAAAGCAGGUCAUAGUGAUCCGGUGGUUCUGAAUGGAAGGGCCAUCGCUCAACGGAUAAAAGGUACUCCGGGGAUAACAGGCUGAUACCGCCCAAGAGUUCAUAUCGACGGCGGUGUUUGGCACCUCGAUGUCGGCUCAUCACAUCCUGGGGCUGAAGUAGGUCCCAAGGGUAUGGCUGUUCGCCAUUUAAAGUGGUACGCGAGCUGGGUUUAGAACGUCGUGAGACAGUUCGGUCCCUAUCUGCCGUGGGCGCUGGAGAACUGAGGGGGGCUGCUCCUAGUACGAGAGGACCGGAGUGGACGCAUCACUGGUGUUCGGGUUGUCAUGCCAAUGGCACUGCCCGGUAGCUAAAUGCGGAAGAGAUAAGUGCUGAAAGCAUCUAAGCACGAAACUUGCCCCGAGAUGAGUUCUCCCUGAGACUUAGAGUCUCCUGAAGGAACGUUGAAGACGACGACGUUGAUAGGCCGGGUGUGUAAGCGCAGCGAUGCGUUGAGCUAACCGGUACUAAUGAACCGUGAGGCUUAACCUUACAACGCCGAAG